Molecule: long non-coding RNA, 786 nt
Filed under: Homo sapiens (human)
Lineage: Eukaryota; Metazoa; Chordata; Mammalia; Primates; Hominidae
Description: HSALNT0291723
Source: RNAcentral
AGUUCUCUCAUUUGUUCUUUUUAUUGUCUGUCUCUUCCUUCCAGAAUAUGCAUUCCAGGAGAGCAGGGAUAUUUGUUUUGUUCCCCGAUGUAUCCCCUGGAUCUAGCACAGGACUGGCAGACGGAGUUUCACCAUGUUGGCCAGGAUGGUCUCUGUCUCUUGACCUCGUGAUCCGCCCGCCUUGGACUUCCAGAGUGCUGGGAUUACAGGCAUGAGCCACCACGCCCAGCCUUGUUUUUGUAUAUUUUGUAGAGACAGGUCUUACUAUGUUGCCCAGGUUUGUCUUGGAGCUCCACUCCAAGGUGGAGCUCAAGCGAUCCACCUGCCUCAGCCUCCCAAAGUGCUGGGAUUACAGAUGUGAGCCACCAUGCCCAGCCUUCAUGGGUUUCCCUAGGAUCACCAGCUGUCAUGGACUGAUUUGUGUCUCUCCAAAUUCAUAUGUUGAAUACUUAACCUGCCAUGCGAUUGUGAUUGGAGAUAAUUCCUUUAGGGAAGCAAUGAAGGUUAAAUGAGGUCAUAGGUGGGAGCUUAAUCCAAUGGGACUGGGGUCCCUACAAGAAGAGGAAGACACCAGAGCUCUCUGUCUCCACACACAGAGAAAAGAGGCUGUAUGAGGACACAAGAGAAGGUAAUAGCUGUCUACAAACCAAGAAGAGAAGCCUCUCCAGAAAAUGAACCCUGCUGGAACUUGGUCUUGGACUUUCCAGCCUCCAGAACUGGGAGAAAAUAAAGUUCAAAAUAAAGUUCUGUUGUGUAAGCCCCCGAGUCCAUGGUAUUUUGUUAUGG